UCAGUAUUAUAUUAAAACAUGAGAAGUUUGAUGCUAGCAUUAUUUUUUAAUUUAGAUUAGGAUUGCUAUGAAAUAUGAAUCAAGCAUCACAUUAAAUAGGCUACCAUUAAAUUUUUAUAAUAAUUGAAGCAAGAUAACUAUAAUUUUAAUUUUACAGUAAAAAGCAUAGGCAAGCAUUUCCAAAAAAAAGUGUACUAAAAUUUGUGAUAAUUUUUGUUUACUGCAUGGAUCUACAUAUGUGGAGCUGAACAAAAUUUGUUUUAUAAUUUUUAGAUUUUUCUAUGAAUUACUAUGUAUUUAUUAAUUUUCAGCCGAUUUAAAAAAUAAAAGAAAAAUAAAUUGGAGAUUUUACAUUGGGAAUUCUAGAAAUUUUUUAUUUUUUUCUCUAAUAUGAGAUUUUGCAUUAGGAACCCUAGAAUGUUUUUUAUUUUGUUUUUGGCUUCUAGAAACCUUGGAGGGAGGAGGCGAUCGUAACCGAACACGCACAGGAGGCGAUCCUAACCGGACAGGAUUAUGGGCAGAAGAAAGUAUUUGGCAAACUGAAAUUUUGGCUCUUUAUAGAUAGGUAUAGAUUUUGGCCGAAGAUUACAACACAAUUUUUAUAAAAAAUUUCUUCGAGCAACUCUAACCGUUUGGCUAUUUUUCUUGUGGAGGCUAUUUUAGGAUUUGUGUAACAAAAUGAUCCUAUGUGAUUUUGUAAAAUAUUCCUUGAUUUUUGGUGGCCAUAUAUAGCUAGGCCUUGUUUAGUUCCCCAAAAAUUUUGCAAAAUUUUUCAGAUUUCCCGUCACAUCGAAUAUUUAGACGUAUGCAUGAAGUAUUAAAUAUAGAUGAAAAUAAAAACUAAUCGCACAGUUUGGUCGAAAUUGGCGAGACUAAUCUUUUGAGCCUAGUUAGUCCAUAAUUGAACAAUAUUUGUCAAAUACAAACGAAAGUGCUACUAUUCCUAUUUUGCAAAAUUUUUUGGAAGUAAACAAGGCCCUAAUCACAGACACUUGCAAUCUAACUUUAUAAAAUAGCAAUGCUAUUGUGAACCUCUUCUUUUUGGAUAAUUUUUCUAUUUUAGACAAUAAAAUUUGGCUAUUAAUUUUAGCUAUAUAAGAUGCUGGAGUUGCUCUAAGAAAACAAAAAUAAAACAGGUCCAUUACAAGAAAAAAAAAGAUAAAAAAAAGCUGCAUCCCGUCGUUGGAUGAAGCACAGCCCAAUAACACAGCCCAAUAAACCAACGUUGUGUAUGGGCCAUAUGGCGUUAUGGAGUCGGCUGAGCCACGAGCGCAAC
This 1276-nucleotide long non-coding RNA is filed under the name Sorghum bicolor (sorghum). RNAcentral's name for it is "long non-coding RNA (SBIC_LNC016617)". Lineage: Eukaryota; Viridiplantae; Streptophyta; Magnoliopsida; Poales; Poaceae. The record is from RNAcentral.